This 468-nucleotide ribosomal RNA is filed under the name uncultured bacterium. Its description in RNAcentral is "partial 16S ribosomal RNA". It matches the Rfam family "Bacterial small subunit ribosomal RNA", at positions 28 to 507 of the family's 1533-position model. The record is from RNAcentral.
GACGAACGCUGGCGGCGUGCUUAACACAUGCAAGUCGAACGGAAAGGCCCUGCUUUUGUGGGGUGCUCGAGUGGCGAACGGGUGAGUAACCCGUGAGUAACCUGCCCUUGACUUUGGGAUAACUUCAGGAAACUGGGGCUCAUACCGGAUAGGAGCUCCUGCUGCAUGGUGGGGGUUGGAUAGUUUAGGCGGUUGGGGAUGGACUCGCGGCUUAUCAGCUUGUUGGUGGGGUCGUGGCUUACCAAGGCUUUGACGGGUCGCCGGCCUGGGAGGGUGACCGGCCACACUAGAAUGGAGAUGAGGCACAGACCCCUACGAGAGGGAGCAGUGGGGAAGAGUGCACAAGGGGCGGGGGGCUGGUGCAGCAAAGCCACGUGAGGGAUGACGGGAUUCGGGUUGUAAUGCACUUUCGCCUAUGACGAAGCGUGAGUGACGGUAAUGGGUAAAUAAGCACCGGCUAACUACGUG